GAUGAACGCUGGCGGCGUGCCUAAUACAUGCAAGUCGAGCGAACGGACGAGAAGCUUGCUUCUCUGAUGUUAGCGGCGGACGGGUGAGUAACACGUGGAUAACCUACCUAUAAGACUGGGAUAACUUCGGGAAACCGGAGCUAAUACCGGAUAAUAUUUUGAACCGCAUGGUUCAAAAGUAAAAGACGGUCUUGCUGUCACUUAUAGAUGGAUCCGCGCUGCAUUAGCUAGUUGGUAAGGUAACGGCUUACCAAGGCAACGAUGCAUAGCCGACCUGAGAGGGUGAUCGGCCACACUGGAACUGAGACACGGUCCAGACUCCUACGGGAGGCAGCAGUAGGGAAUCUUCCGCAAUGGGCGAAAGCCUGACGGAGCAACGCCGCGUGAGUGAUGAAGGUCUUCGGAUCGUAAAACUCUGUUAUUAGGGAAGAAUAUAUGUGUAAGUAACUGUGCACAUCUUGACGGUACCUAAUCAGAAAGCCACGGCUAACUACGUGCCAGCAGCCGCGGUAAUACGUAGGUGGCAAGCGUUAUCCGGAAUUAUUGGGCGUAAAGCGCGCGUAGGCGGUUUUUUAAGUCUGAUGUGAAAGCCCACGGCUCAACCGUGGAGGGUCAUUGGAAACUGGAAAACUUGAGUGCAGAAGAGGAAAGUGGAAUUCCAUGUGUAGCGGUGAAAUGCGCAGAGAUAUGGAGGAACACCAGUGGCGAAGGCGACUUUCUGGUCUGUAACUGACGCUGAUGUGCGAAAGCGUGGGGAUCAAACAGGAUUAGAUACCCUGGUAGUCCACGCCGUAAACGAUGAGUGCUAAGUGUUAGGGGGUUUCCGCCCCUUAGUGCUGCAGCUAACGCAUUAAGCACUCCGCCUGGGGAGUACGACCGCAAGGUUGAAACUCAAAGGAAUUGACGGGGACCCGCACAAGCGGUGGAGCGUGUGGUUUAAUUCGAAGCAACGCGAAGAACCUUACCAAAUCUUGACAUCCUCUGACCCCUCUAGAGAUAGAGUUUUCCCCUUCGGGGGACAGAGUGACAGGUGGUGCAUGGUUGUCGUCAGCUCGUGUCGUGAGAUGUUGGGUUAAGUCCCGCAACGAGCGCAACCCUUAAGCUUAGUUGCCAUCAUUAAGUUGGGCACUCUAAGUUGACUGCCGGUGACAAACCGGAGGAAGGUGGGGAUGACGUCAAAUCAUCAUGCCCCUUAUGAUUUGGGCUACACACGUGCUACAAUGGACAAUACAAAGGGUAGCGAAACCGCGAGGUCAAGCAAAUCCCAUAAAGUUGUUCUCAGUUCGGAUUGUAGUCUGCAACUCGACUAUAUGAAGCUGGAAUCGCUAGUAAUCGUAGAUCAGCAUGCUACGGUGAAUACGUUCCCGGGUCU
This 1372-nucleotide ribosomal RNA is filed under the name uncultured bacterium. RNAcentral's name for it is "bacterial SSU rRNA". It matches the Rfam family "Bacterial small subunit ribosomal RNA", at positions 28 to 1381 of the family's 1533-position model. The record is from RNAcentral.